Molecule: ribosomal RNA, 465 nt
Filed under: Vreelandella stevensii
Lineage: Bacteria; Pseudomonadati; Pseudomonadota; Gammaproteobacteria; Oceanospirillales; Halomonadaceae
Description: partial 16S ribosomal RNA
Rfam family: Bacterial small subunit ribosomal RNA
Source: RNAcentral
CCUACGGGCGGCUGCAGUGGGGAAUAUUGGACAAUGGGCGAAAGCCUGAUCCAGCCAUGCCGCGUGUGUGAAGAAGGCCUUCGGGUUGUAAAGCACUUUCAGUGGGGAAGAAAGCCUUGGGGCUAAUACCCUCGAGGAAGGACAUCACCCACAGAAGAAGCACCGGCUAACUCCGUGCCAGCAGCCGCGGUAAUACGGAGGGUGCGAGCGUUAAUCGGAAUUACUGGGCGUAAAGCGCGCGUAGGCGGUCUGAUAAGCCGGUUGUGAAAGCCCCGGGCUCAACCUGGGAACGGCAUCCGGAACUGUCAGGCUAGAGUGCAGGAGAGGAAGGUAGAAUUCCCGGUGUAGCGGUGAAAGGCGUAGAGAUCGGGAGGAAUACCAGUGGCGAAGGCGGCCUUCUGGACUGACACUGACGCUGAGGUGCGAAAGCGUGGGUAGCAAACAGGAUUAGAUACCCCAGUAGUC